Molecule: ribosomal RNA, 811 nt
Filed under: uncultured bacterium
Lineage: Bacteria
Description: bacterial SSU rRNA
Rfam family: Bacterial small subunit ribosomal RNA
Source: RNAcentral
AGUUUGAUCAUGGCUCAGAACGAACGUUGGCGGCGUGGAUUAGGCAUGCAAGUCGUACGAGAAAGGUUCCUUCGGGAACUGAGUAAAGUGGCGGACGGGUGAGUAAUGCAUAGACAAUCUACCCUUGAGAUGGGGAUAACACCUGGGAAACUGGUGCUAAUACCCAAUACUGUCUGGUGCCUGCGGGCGCGAGAUGAAAGGAGGCCUCUGAUUAAGCUUCCACUCAGGGAGGGGUCUAUGUCCUAUUAGCUUGUUGGUGAGGUAACGGCUCACCAAGGCAACGAUGGGUAGCCGGCCUGAGAGGGUGACCGGCCACAUUGGGACUGAGACACUGCCCAGACUCCUACGGGAGGCUGCAGUCGAGAAUCUUCCGCAAUGCGCGCAAGCGUGACGGAGCGACGCCGCGUGGGUGAUGAAGGCCUUCGGGUUGUAAAGCCCUGUCAGCUAUCAGGAAACGCGGGUGGUCAAUAGCUAUCCCGUUUGACCCAAUAGCAGAGGAAGCACCGGCUAAAUACGUGCCAGCAGCCGCGGUAAUACGUAUGGUGCAAACGUUGUUCGGAAUCACUGGGCUUAAAGCGGGCGUAGGCGGUUUGGUCAGUCUGUUGUGAAAUCCCUCGGCUCAACUGAGGAACUGCAACGGAUACUGCCAAGCUAGAGUGCAGGAGGGGAGAGUGGAAUUCCUGGUGGAGCGGUGAAAUGCGUAGAUAUCAGGAGGAACGCCGGUGGCGAAAGCGACUCUCUGGACUGUUACUGACGCUGAGGCCCGAAAGCUAGGGGAGCAAACGGGAUUAGAUACCCCGGUAGUCCUAGC